This 1323-nucleotide long non-coding RNA is filed under the name Phasianus colchicus (ring-necked pheasant). RNAcentral's name for it is "lncRNA (ENSPCLG00000017747.1)". Lineage: Eukaryota; Metazoa; Chordata; Aves; Galliformes; Phasianidae. The record is from RNAcentral.
AUGGGGUUUUAUGGGAUUCUAUGGGGCUUUAUGGGGUUUUAUGGGGUCUUAUGGGGUCUUAUGGGAUCCUAUAGGAUUUUAUGGGGUCUUAUGGGGUCUUAUGGGAUUCUAUGGGGUUUUAUGGGGUUUUAUGGGAUCCUAUGGGGUUUUAUGGGAUCCUAUGGGGUUUUAUGGGGUUUUAUGGGGUUCUAUGGGGUUCUAGAAGCUUCUAUGGGGUUUUUAUGGGGUCUUAUGGGGUUUUAUGGGGUCUUAUGGGGUUUUAUGGGAUCCUAUGCGGUUUUAUGGGGUUUUAUGGGGUUCUAUGGGGUUCUAGAAGCUUCUAUGGGGUUUUAUGGGGUCUUAUGGGAUCCUAUGGGGUUUUAUGGGGUCCUUAUGGGGUUUUAUGGGGUUUUUUGGGUUUUUAUGGGAUUUUAUGGGGUUCUAUGGGGUUCUAUUGGGUUCUAUGGGGUUCUAGAAGGUUCUAUGGGGUUUUAUGGGGUCCUUAUGGGGUCUUAUGGGAUCCUAUGGGGUUUUAUGGGGUUUUAUGGGAUCCUAUGGGAUCUUAUGGGGUCUUAUGGGGUCUUAUGGGGUCUUAUGGGGUUUUUUGGGUUUUUAUGGGAUCUUAUGGGGUUCUAUGGGGUUCUAUUGGGUUCUAUGGGGUUCUAUGGGGUUCUGGAAGGUUCUAUGGGGUUUUUAUGGGGUUUUAUGGGGUCUUAUGGGGUCUUAUGGGGUCUUAUGGGGUUUUAUGGGAUUUUAUGGGAUUCUAUGGGGUUUUAUGGGGUUCUAUUGGGUUCUAUUGGAUUCUAUGGGGUUCUAGAAGCUUCUAUGGGAUCCUAUGGGGUUUUAUGGGGUUUUAUGGGGUCUUAUGGGGUUUUAUGGGAUUCUAUGGGAUUCUGUGGGGGCUUCUAUUGGAUUCUAUGGGGUUCUAGAAGCUUCUAUGGUGUUUCUAUGCGGUUUUAUGGGGUCCUAUGGGGUUUUAUGGGGUCUUAUGGGAUUCUAUGGGGUUCUAUUGGGUUCUAUGGGGUUCUAGAAGCUUCUAUGGGGUUUUAUGGGGUUUUUUAUGGGGUCUUAUGGGGUCCUAUGUGGUCUUAUGGGGUUUUAUGGGCUCUUAUGGGGUUUUAUGGGGUUUUAUGGGAUCCUAUGGGGUUUUAUGGGGUCUUAUGGGGUCUUAUGGCGUUUUAUGGGGUCCUAUGGGAUCCUAUGGGAUCUUAUGGGGUCCUAUGGGAUCGUAUGGGGUUUUAUGGGGUCUUAUGGGAUUCUAUGGGGUUUUAUGGCGUUCUAUUGGGUUCUAGAAGCUUCUAUGGGAUUUCUAUGAGGUCUUAUGGAUCUUAUGGGGUCUUAUAG